GCCGUCCUUUCUCUGUGCCGGCUCGGUGGCUGUUUUGUCGUUGUGCUCCGCAGAUUUUUUUGUCGAAUCGCCGGACAAGAGAAGAAGGGAAAAAAGAAGACGCUGGGGAUCCGUCGAAUGGCGGUCGGCGCUGCGUGUUUCCUUUCCUUUUGGUCGAUCGCGCCGCAUAGUCGGCCGCAAAGCCCGACAUAAAAAAAAGACGCGCCACAAGAGGCACGCGGCGCCGACUCAGAGACCAAUAGAAUACAGGA
RNAcentral lists this long non-coding RNA (251 nucleotides) under Pandoravirus neocaledonia. RNAcentral's name for it is "hypothetical ncRNA". The record is from RNAcentral.